This 1623-nucleotide unclassified non-coding RNA is filed under the name Hevea brasiliensis (rubber tree). The record is from RNAcentral. Lineage: Eukaryota; Viridiplantae; Streptophyta; Magnoliopsida; Malpighiales; Euphorbiaceae.
AAGCAAGCAGAAUAAAUAGUUGGGCUAAUUUUUGUCUGCAAAUAGGUCAAGAGACCAAGAGAGAGAUCAUCUCAUCACCAAUUCUACAAGAUUUCCAUUGUUUAUUAAGAACUAGACUUUAGGGAAGUUCAGUGGAAGCUCCAUUCUGUCUACUUCUAAAAGCUACUCAUUUGAAAAGUUGCUAAUACCAAUUGAAGCUGAAACCCAUUCCAAAUCUGCCGCAUAUAUAUCGUGUUGGACUGCUCUGCCUUUGCCUCUGCCUCUGCCUCUACUCGUUUAUUGCUUCAACCUGCUCCAUGACAGUGGUGGCUAUGUCGUCGUCUCUGUCAUCAUCUUCUUUAAGCAAGAAGAAGAGUUUAAGCAGCUCUAGUGAUGAUGAUCAUUCUGAUCAACUUAGGAGAGGCCCAUGGACUCUCGAAGAAGACAAUCUCCUUGUUCAUUACAUUGCUCGUGAUGGCGAGGGUCGAUGGAAUUUGCUUGCAAAACGUGCUGGAUUGAGAAGAACAGGGAAGAGUUGCAGACUCAGAUGGCUGAAUUAUCUAAAACCCGAUGUUAAGCAUGGAAAUCUUACUCCUCAAGAACAGCUCUUGAUUCUUGAUCUCCAUUCUAAGUGGGGAAACAGGUGGUCGAAAAUUGCACAACAUUUACCAGGAAGAACGGACAACGAAAUCAAGAACUACUGGAGAACUAGAGUGCAGAAACAGGCAAGGCACCUAAAAGUAGAUGCUAAUAGUGCUGCUUUCCAGGAUAUAAUUCGUUGUUUCUGGAUCCCAAGAUUGCUUCAGAAGAUAGAAGGAUCAAAAACUUUAUCUUUAUCAUCAUCGUCAUCAAGAUCAUCUUCCAUGUUAUCCCAGAACCCAACAGUUUCUGAUCAGCCUGUGAAUUAUGCUGCUCCAGAUUUACCAUUGCCACCACCACCGCCACAACAGCUGCCACAGGAAGUUUCUGGUUAUCAUCAGGAGCAUCUUGACCAUAACUCAGACUCGGAGCAUACCUCAAAUUCUUGCAUUUCUUCCACAGAAUCAAUGAAUUUCUCACAAAUAUCUCAAUUAUCAGAAUACCCAAAUAGUCCUUUUCACGGCAUGGGCACCUUUCAGAAGGAUUGCUACUAUGUUGAUAUUGGCUGCAAUAACAUGGAAACCAUGGCCCUGGCAACUCUGUCAGUCCCUGCAGGAGAAUUUCAGAAUCCACUCUGCGAUCCCCACGUGGCGGAAAGCAAUUGGGUUGGAUGUGAUUUUGGAGGUAACAUAUGGAGCAUGGAUGAAUUUAUGGCAAUUUAGGAGCUUACAAGAAUUGUUAAUUAUAGGAUUAAUUGUGUGAUUUUGGGACAAACAAUUGCUAAUUUUCCUACCCAAUAAUUUACAGCAACUGUUAAUUCCAUGUCUGUCUAUAAGCUUUUGUUUGAAAUCAAUCCUAUUACAAUAGCUAAAUUGGACCUAUUGAUAACAAGGGGGUGAUAAUAAUAUUAAUUUUGGAGUAAUUAAAGAUAAUUUUCUGAAUUAUGUUUGUAAUUCUCUUUCUUGAAAUUGUCAGAGAAGUGGAAUGGUGGAGAAGUUCUGGGGCAUAAAUCAUUUGAUUAUUGAACAUUGUUUUGAUACAAAUUAGAAGAUCAAAUGCAAAGUC